This is a long non-coding RNA of Etheostoma cragini (Arkansas darter), 133 nucleotides long. RefSeq lists it as uncharacterized. The transcript has 3 exons. The record is from RefSeq and is a predicted model, not a curated record. Lineage: Eukaryota; Metazoa; Chordata; Actinopteri; Perciformes; Percidae.
GAGGUAUGGUUGGAAAGACGGGUCCUAAAAAACAGUCCUUUCAAACCGGGCAGUGGAGUUCAUGUCCUGGAAGAAGUUAAGGGGAAAAUACAAGACUUUCACCUAGGAAAAGGAUGUGCAUGUCAUGAAGAAG